This is a long non-coding RNA of Poecilia latipinna (sailfin molly), 115 nucleotides long. RefSeq lists it as uncharacterized. Lineage: Eukaryota; Metazoa; Chordata; Actinopteri; Cyprinodontiformes; Poeciliidae. The record is from RefSeq and is a predicted model, not a curated record. The transcript has 3 exons.
AGUCUUGUCAGUACGACCUCUGUCACUUUAAAUCCAAAUAAGCUGCUGCAGCCCACGCCCCCCAACUCGAUGUUUAUACUAGCAUGUGAAUAUGGCUGCGUGCACAUGUGCAAUU